Non-coding RNA from Paramuricea clavata, 240 nucleotides. The record is from the annotation of a GenBank genome assembly. NCBI's taxonomy places the organism in Eukaryota, Metazoa, Cnidaria, Anthozoa, Malacalcyonacea, Plexauridae.
ACCUACGCUGCUGAAAGCAAUGGAUCCAAAUCAAUUUGGUUUUGUGCCCAAUUCAUGUACUACUUUUGCUUUAAUUUCGAUGUUACAUCGCUGGUUGGAAAACACGAAUGGCACUGGUUCCGCGCGUCAGGGUUGCACUUCUGGAUUACAGAAAAGCAUUUGACUUAAUGGACCACAAUAUUUUAAUUGCCAAACUUUUUAGCCUUGGAGUCAAACCGACAGUUGUAAAUUGGAUUGCUG